This 1062-nucleotide long non-coding RNA is filed under the name Selaginella moellendorffii. Its description in RNAcentral is "long non-coding RNA (SMOE_LNC002411)". The record is from RNAcentral. Lineage: Eukaryota; Viridiplantae; Streptophyta; Lycopodiopsida; Selaginellales; Selaginellaceae.
AGCGCGAUCUUGAGCGCCGCUCGCCGGGUUUGGAUCGGCAAUGCUCUCCAGCUCCGAGGUCAUGUACUUGUGGAAGGCGUAGAUCGGGAAAUACCACUCGCCAGGCGGCGGCAGUGGCGCAUUCUCGCAUUCCUUGUCUCUGCCGCCCAGCUCCAUGAGGGCCUUCCUCUUGCCGCGCAAGAUAUCCAGCAGGAGCAUCCAAAGCUAUAGACAUCGGCCUUGGGGGUGAUGGAUUGGCUCUCGAGCCACUCUGGAGCGAGGUAUCCCCUGGUUCCUUGCACGGUGGUGAUGCUCAUCGAUUCUUUUCUCAUCAUCCUCGCCAGCCCAAAUUUGGACACCUUUGGCCGGAGCUCUCGUCCUGCAGCACGUUUUGUGGCUUGAUAUCGAUGCGCUCGCCACACUUCUCGUGGAGGUAUGUCAAUCCUUUGGCAAUCCCCAGCGCGAUUGAGUGUCGUGUCUCCCAGGUUGAGAAGAUCUCUUGCGAGGCGGCGAAUGAGGACGAGGCCGAGAGGUGGUGAUCGAGAGAACUGUUUGCCAUGAACUCGUAGACGAGAAGGUGGCGGUCUCCCUCGGCGCAGUAGCCGAGGAGGCGGAGCCAAGUUGACGUGGUGUACUCUUCCAAUCGUGCUCACCUCGGCCUUGAAUUGCUUCUCGGCCUGGUUCACGGUGGUGAUGUUCUUCAUGGCCAUGUUUCCUCUAUACACGCUCCCGAAUCCUCCCGAGCCUAACUCUUCGAGCGACUUGAUGGUCGAGUCAAAGUUGUAAUCGUUAAAGUAGUAGUCUGCUCGAUUCACGUGGACGAGCUUUACCGAGAUUGGGGAGUUUUGACAAGCUCCCGGUAUGUCGUAGUCACAUCCCUUCGAUUCGUCGUUUGGAUCAACUCGGUGAAAGCCAGGAGCACAGCUGCAAGUUUUUGUGGGCCUGUAGGUGCAGAGAACGAAAGGUCCACAUGUUCCAAAGAUGUCGCACUCGAGCAUGACGGCUUGCCAGACGACGCUCCAGGAGCCACUCUUGUUCUUCGGGCCGAAGCUGUAGAUCCCGAGAUUGCCAUCGUCGUCCAGC